GAUGAACGCUGGCGGCGUGCCUAAUACAUGCAAGUCGAGCGAACGGACGAGAAGCUUGCUCCUCUGAUGUUAGCAGCGGACGGGUGAGUAACACGUGGAUAACCUACCUAUAAGACUGGGAUAACUUCGGGAAACCGGAGCUAAUACCGGAUGAUAUAUUGAACCGCAUGGUUCAAAAGUGAAAGACGGUCUUGCUGUCACUUAUAGAUGGAUCCGCGCUGCAUUAGCUAGUUGGUAAGGUAACGGCUUACCAAGGCAACGAUGCAUAGCCGACCUAAGAGGGAGAUCGGCCACACGGGAACUGAGACACGGCCCAGACUCCUACGGGAGGCAGCAGUAGGGAAUCUUACGCAAGGGGCGAAAGCCUGACAGAGCAACGCCGCGUGAGUGAUGAAGGUCUUAGGAUCGUAAAACUCUGUUAUUAGGGAAGAACAAAUGUGUAAGUACCUGUGCACAUCUUGACGGUACCGAAUCAGAAAGCCACGGCUAACUACGUG
This 497-nucleotide ribosomal RNA is filed under the name uncultured bacterium. RNAcentral describes it as "partial 16S ribosomal RNA". It matches the Rfam family "Bacterial small subunit ribosomal RNA", at positions 28 to 507 of the family's 1533-position model. The record is from RNAcentral.